UGAGCGACCUACCUAAUUGUGGGGGAUAGCCGGGCCCAAACGGCCGGGUAAUACCGCAUACGAUCGGAGAGGGGCAUCCCUUUCUGAGGAAAGCCUUCGGGCGCAAUUUGAGGGGCUCGCGGCCUAUCAGCUAGUUGGCGGGGUAACGGCCCACCAAGGCGACGACGGGUAGCUGGUCUGAGAGGAUGGCCAGCCACAUUGGGACUGAGAUACGGCCCAGACUCCUACGGGAGGCAG
This 237-nucleotide ribosomal RNA is filed under the name uncultured bacterium. Its description in RNAcentral is "partial 16S ribosomal RNA". It matches the Rfam family "Bacterial small subunit ribosomal RNA", at positions 118 to 351 of the family's 1533-position model. The record is from RNAcentral.